Long non-coding RNA from Rana temporaria (common frog), 723 nucleotides. RefSeq lists it as uncharacterized. NCBI's taxonomy places the organism in Eukaryota, Metazoa, Chordata, Amphibia, Anura, Ranidae. The record is from RefSeq and is a predicted model, not a curated record. The transcript is spliced from 3 exons.
UUGAGGGCAGCAUAUUAGUGAGCCGCACAGCUGAUCCAUCAGCGUGAGCUCUGCCAGAGGAAUCAUUCCUCGGUAUACUGAGGCAACAGCAGGUCAUAGCAUCUGGACUCAAUAGAUUUUUCGGGCAAUUUAUCUGCCUAAUUUCUGGCAGUUAUCACUGCAACUCGAACCAGUACUGACAGAAAUUUCUUGGGCUGAUCCAUAUUAAUCUCUUUUGAGACUACUUCAUCACCGAAUCUUCCCAUUAUUCUGAUCAUUAUUUUGAACCAGGUAAUAAUUAUCCUUUAUACACACUUUUUUCUACAGAUGUUUAUUCAUCACAAUUUUGUUUUUUCUUUUUUACACCUUUUUUCUCUCUCCCUAUUUGUCAAUUUUUAAUAUUUUCAUUCUGUACCUACAGUACCUACUUGCCUCCGGCUCCUCUUCCUCUAUAGGCUUGCAUCCAGGCUCGGUGCGGUGCAUGGUGAUCCUACCCGCAUGUAUAAGAGGAGUAUUUCCUCUUUUUCCCAUCCCUUCUUCCUUCCAUCUGGGAUCUUCCAUCUGGGAUUCUAAGCCAUUUACGGCUAAUUAUUCACGUUAUUCAGUCCAUUUUUUCAGGUAAAUAUUUCUGUUAAAGUCCACAGUUAUCGCAGACACUUCAUUCACUCCAUUUGUGUCUAUUUAAAUAAAUAUAUUUCUCUUUUUAUGUUUUACAACAAAUUAUGAUUAUGUCUACAUCUAUGG